RNAcentral lists this unclassified non-coding RNA (200 nucleotides) under Cladophialophora sp. RNAcentral describes it as "partial internal transcribed spacer 2". The record is from RNAcentral. Lineage: Eukaryota; Fungi; Ascomycota; Eurotiomycetes; Chaetothyriales; Herpotrichiellaceae.
UUAAGUUCAGCGCGUAUUCCUACCUGAUCCGAGGUCAACCAUUGAAAAAUUUCCCGGUAAAGGGAGAAGACCGGGUCCCGGGUGCCCUUAUCCAAUACGUGCUCAAUUAAAAGCUCAGUGUACCGGGGGAACCACAGGCCGCCGUCAUUGUCUUUAGGAGGAGUCGCGGUGACGCGACCAAGCCGUCCAACACCAAGCAC